UACGUAGGGGGCGAGCGUUGUCCGGAGUUACUGGGCGUAAAGCGUGCGCAGGCGGUUUUGUAAGCCGGAUGUGAAAUCCCCGGGCUUAACCUGGGAAUGGCAUUCGGGACUGCAAGGCUGGAGUGCGGCAGAGGAGACUGGAAUUCCUGGUGUAGCAGUGAAAUGCGUAGAUAUCAGGAGGAACACCGAUGGCGAAGGCAGGUCUCUGGGCUGACACUGACGCUCAUGCACGAAAGCGUGGGGAGCAAACGGG
This 253-nucleotide ribosomal RNA is filed under the name uncultured bacterium. RNAcentral's name for it is "partial 16S ribosomal RNA". It matches the Rfam family "Bacterial small subunit ribosomal RNA", at positions 524 to 776 of the family's 1533-position model. The record is from RNAcentral.